Molecule: ribosomal RNA, 450 nt
Filed under: uncultured bacterium
Lineage: Bacteria
Description: partial 16S ribosomal RNA
Rfam family: Bacterial small subunit ribosomal RNA
Source: RNAcentral
CCUACGGGUGGCUGCAGUGAGGAAUAUUGGUCAAUGGGCGCAAGCCUGAACCAGCCAUCCCGCGUGAAGGAAGAAUGCGCUAUGCGUUGUAAACUUCUUUUCCAGGGGAAUAAAAUUCUGUACGCGUACGGGAUUGAAGGUACCCUGGGAAUAAGCAUCGGCUAACUCCGUGCCAGCAGCCGCGGUAAUACUGAGGAUGCGAGCGUUAACCGGAUUUAUUGGGUUUAAAGGGGGCGUAAUCGGUCUAUGGUGAAAGCCUUCAGCUUAACUGGAGACUUGCCAUUGAUACUGUAGUCUUGAGUGUGGUUAAGGUAGGCGGAAUGUGUAAUGUAGCGGUGAAAUGCUUAGAUAUUACACAGAACACCGAUUGCGAAGGCAGCUUACUGAGCCAUAACUGACGCUGAUGCACGAAAGCGUGGGGAGCGAACAGGAUUAGAUACCCCAGUAGUC